Molecule: ribosomal RNA, 497 nt
Filed under: uncultured bacterium
Lineage: Bacteria
Description: partial 16S ribosomal RNA
Rfam family: Bacterial small subunit ribosomal RNA
Source: RNAcentral
GACGAACGCUGGCGGCGUGCCUAAUACAUGCAAGUAGAACGCUGAAGCUUGGUGCUUGCACCGAGCGGAUGAGUUGCGAACGGGUGAGUAACGCGUAGGUAACCUGCCUGGUAGCGGGGGAUAACUAUUGGAAACGAUAGCUAAUACCGCAUAAGAGUAGAUGUUGCAUGACAUUUGCUUAAAAGGUGCAAUUGCAUCACUACCAGAUGGACCCGCGUUGUAUUAGCUAGUUGGUGAGGUAACGGCUCACCAAGGCAACGAUACAUAGCCGACCUGAGAGGGUGAUCGGCCACAAUGGGACUGAGACACGGCCCAGACUCCUACGGGAGGCAGCAGUAGGGAAUCUUCGGCAAUGGACGGAAGUCUGACCGAGCAACGCCGCGUGAGUGAAGAAGGUUUUCGGAUCGUAAAGCUCUGUUGUAAGAGGAGAACGAGUGUGAGAGUGGAAAGUUCACACUGUGACGGUAUCUUACCAGAAAGGGACGGCUAACUACGUG